GACACCAGUAACCAUAGGAGCACAUUGAUGCCAAGAGUUAUAUAAUCCAGGCCUCUUGCCAUGAAAUACAACAUAGACUUUUGAAGCUUUGUUCCUAUUCCCCCAUUCCUUAUUCUAACCCUAAGAAAGAUAAGAGAUGAAGAAGGAAAAAACAAAGAUAGAAAAAUAAGGGCUGGAAAAGCUUCUUAGGUGAAGCACUAUAUAUUAAGUGUUUAGGGUUAGAAAGUGACCAAUGCAAGAUAAAUACCGGUAGUUUAAUUUUUAUACGUAUUUCCUCUAAUAUAUUAUGUGUAUAUUAUAGUGUAUUUCGUUUAAUUGGUAUAAUAUAUGUAUAUUUAGUGUAUUUCGUUUAAUUAGUAUAGUAUAUGUGUUUGUGCUUUAUGGAAAAUGAUAUAGCAUGCAUCUUGGGAAGGUAAGACAAUUAAAUUAGUGAGAGAGAAUUGUUUGAAAAAAAUUAAAUUUAAAAAGAAAAUAUGCCAAAGGGUAUAUAUGAAAACGAAAAUGCACAACUAUUCAUUAUGCCCUCAAAAGCCAUGCGAAAUUACCAUUAUACCCCCAUUUUGGACAUUUGGGUCAUUCUUAGUGUGGCCAAAUAUAUUUUUCGUUAUAUAAAUUUCUAUACAUAUUGUAGUUUUAGUUGAGGUUUGGUAACUUCUUACUCCCUCCGUUCACUUUUACGUGGCACAUUUUGAUUUUUCACGCCCUUAAGAAAUAAUAAAUGAAGUGCAUAAUUUACCAUGAUCCCCAUAUUAAUUGUUGCAUAUUUUAUUGGAUUUGAGAAAAUGGUUUGAAAUGAGUAAUAAAUGCUCUGAGUAUAACAAAAAAAAAUUGUCAUUCUCUUGAUAUGCGUAAAGUGACAAGUAAAAAUGAAAAUCUAUUUUUAGUAUACAUUCCAAGUAAAAGUGAACGGAGAAAGUAUUAAUUAAGUAAUACCAAACCAAAUUAAAAAUUACAAACUUUGUACUUAAAUACCAAGUUAUAUCAAAUCAAGCCGCAUAAUGAUGUUUUAGAAAUUAAUUUAAUUUAUCAGUUUGAUUUGUUAUUCAGUUAAUGUUGAAUACCCAACUUAUAAUAGCCCGUUUGGACAUAAGAAUAUUUUUACUUUUUUCGAUUUUUUUUCGAAAUCAAUGCUUGGUCAUAAAAAUGUCAAUUUUCACUUGAAGAUGAAUUUUGAAAAACUUAAAAAAGUUAUUUUUCAAAAAUUUUCACUCAACUUCAAAAGUAACUCAAAAUUAUAUUCAUGUCCAAACAGAACUCUAAUUUUCAAAUAUCAUUUUCAUUUGAAAUUUUUUUAUACUUUUUUUUUUUGAAAUUUUACAAUUCUUAUGUCCAAACGUCCACUAAGAAUUUUUAUUUAUGAAAAAAAAACUUAUAUGUUCAUUUAUUUCUUCGUAUUAAUUUAUUCAUUCAUUCGUUCAAUCUUCACCCACCUAUCUCCUCGAUUCCCGAGCCCUCCCAAAUUUGAAUUCAAACAAAAAAUUUCCACCAAUAACUGAGUGCCACGUCCCCGGUCUGGCGUUGGGGGUGUUAACCCAAAGUCCAUUUCAAAACCUCACAAAAACCCUAGCAAAUCCACCACUUUUUGAAAAUUGUACUACUUGAAUGGUUUGGCAUUUUCUCUGAGCCGUAGGAAACAAAACCCUAGAAAAACUCUUCACCUCUCAAUCAAUCUUCUUAUCUCAUCUUCAAAUCUUUUUCCCAAUUUUCCAAAAACCAAAACCCACCACAAAAACUCUUUAGUACACUCACAAUGGCCAAAAAGAAGGCAGCCCCCCAAACUGAAGAGGGAAAGGAAAAGCAGCAGCAGGUGAAAGAACGCAAUCACUCUGCAGCCAUGGAAGAAGCUUCUGAGAAACUUGAAAGCCUAAAGAGCCUCAAUAACAUGCUUCUCAAGGAGACCAUUGAGAAACGGCAACAGGUGGACUCACUCGUGCAAGCAAAAAGCUCUCUGGAAUCGGAACUCAAAAGGUCUAACUCGGAGAAGGACGAGCUGAAGGCCCAGUUGACUCGGCUGAACGAAGAUGUUGUUCAGUUGGAGAUUGAGAAGAAGCUGGUGUCCGUAUUUGUCUCUGUGCAGGUUGCUUACCAUGCUGAGGUGGCUGAGAAGGAGAGGGACGGGUUUCGCAUACAGAAUGAUGCGGUUGAGAAGAAACUUGAGAGUUUAGAGAGAGAAAUGAGUGAUCUUAUGAAGGAGAAGGAUGAGAUUGAGAAGGCGAGGAUUGAAAAAGAGAGAGAGAUUGAAAGCCUUAAGGAGAAACUGAAUGCUAUUGCAUAUGAGGUUGCCCGUGAGAGGAAUGUUUCGGAGGAUAUUCGUAAGGAGAAGGAUGAAAUGAAAACGAGACUUGAUGCUCAAAUAGAGGAAUCAAAUGGGUUGAGCGUGAAGUUGGUUGAAACUGAGAAGAAAGAGAAAGAGAUUGAACUAGAAGCUGGGAAAUUAAGGGUUGGAUACAAUGCCCUUUUGGAGGAAAUCAAGGACAGAGAAAGCAAGAUUCAGUCCAUGGUGACAGAGAAGGAAUUAGUCGAGAAAAGGUUGUUGGAUUCGAAUAAGGAGAUUGAAGAACUGAGGGUACAGAUUGAUGGGAUUGUUGGGGAAAAAGAAGGGAUUGAAGGGGAGAGAAAUGCAGAAGCGAAGAAGAGCAGUGAGUUGCAGAACACAGUCACUGGUCUCAAUGAGACGGUGCUGAGUUUGCAGAAGGAGGCGGCAAAAUUGCGUGAAAAUUUGGUUGAGUUAGAGAACAAGUGUGUGGAAGGAUCCAGGAAGGAAGAUGAGAUGGAGAAGAAGAUUAAUGAACUUGUGAAGGGAAACAAUGAGAAAGAGAGCAGAGUUGAGAGUUUGAUUGAAGAAAAGGGCUUUGUUGAGAAGGAAUUGGACAAGGCAUUGAAGCAGUUAGAUGAAGAGAAGAAGAAGAUUGAGCAAACUCUCACAGAGAAGAAUGAGAUGGAAGAGGCUAAAGUUGGGAGGGAGGCUGAAAUUGUUGAAUUGCAGAAACAAUUAGUUGAAUUCAAGGAUGUUAUUUCUGAAUUAGAGGUGUCUUGCAAUGGUCAGGAAGAGAAAGUGAAGAGUUUGGAAUCUGAAGUUGGGAAGUAUAAGGCUGCAUUGGAGCGAGUUGCGCUUGAGAAGGAUGAGAUACAAAAGUGUUUUGAUGACGAGAAACAGAAUGUCAUGAACAUGAAGAAACAGAUUGAAGAAAUGGAGAAACACAUUCAAGAAAUUGUUCAGGAGGUUGAACGAACCAAGGCUGAUCACCUCAAUGUGGUUGGAGAAAAGAAAGAGAUGGAAACUCGAUGCCAAGCGUUGAACAAGGAAAUUGCAUAUGUGCAAACUUCACUUGGCGAAGCACAGAAGGAAAUCAGUGCUAUGCAGUGCAAGGUUGUAUUGGCAAACAGUAGUUCCGAGGAAAUCUUGAAUGCUUUGAGGACUGUUGCAGGUUCAAUCUGCUCGAAUGAUCAAGGAGCAAAUGGCAAUGUACUUCGUGAAAAACAAAUGAAUGAGGAAGAUGUCAAGCCUUAUGAAGCAGAGUUGGAGGCCAUCACGAAUGCAAUCAAGAGUAAAGAGAACAAAGUAGAUGAGAUGAAGAGACAGGUUGAGUUCCUUCAGCUUUCGGUAGUACAAGCACAAAAGAAGAAGAAUUUUUGGACCAUGUUAUCUUCUGCAACAACACUUUUUGCUGCAAUUUCUCUUGCAUAUGUUGCUCGUGGCCAUUGAAUGAGGGAGUCAUUUAGUUUUAUCCAAACUGUUAACCGCAAGUUCCAAGAAAGGAUUUCAGUUUUGGUCCCAUAGUUUAACCUGUUAAGGAACAUGGGCAGGUUUUUGUAAUGCUGGUAUCAUGGCCUGACAUGAUAUUUGACUGCUGUUAGCUUGUUUCAACAUCAUACUUAACAAUCUAUGUCCGCUUACUUUCAUGCUUCCGUAUGAAAUAAUAUGAGAUCCUUUACUUUCCUAUCUCCGUAUUCAGAUUGCCAUUCAAUUUUUUUGGAUUUAUCUUUGCUUAGUACGAAUCAUGAAUCAAUAUGCUGUUUGUCUUUUUUCUUUUUAUGUGUAUUUUCUUUACGAUGUUAUUUAAAGGAAGAAACUCCAAUCAGAAGAGAUUGUGUAAAAGGUUGUGAGCUUUAGAAAACUCACGAUAUGAUUGUUUUGUUAGAAACUUCAUUGUGACAAACUGAAUAAUAAAAGCUUAAAAAGCAUUGAUAUUAUUUGUCAGAUACAAAAAGAAAAUCGAUGAAACAUCAUGAAUGUAUACCUCUGUUUGGUUUCAGGAUUUCAAUAUUUUGUUUCCUAGCUGUUUUGGUAUCAAUAUUUCAAUACCUCUGAAUUUUUCGUUUCCAUUUGCUUAUUGAUCUGAAGGACUCUAAUGCUACUCAGGUUUCAAACCCUUGUUUAAUAACAAUAUUCUUUUUACCGAAAGGAGGAGGAGUGCAUCUAUAAGUUCAUGUGGCAAAAGCAUGGUGGAAGUCACAAUUCUAGUGCUUUCACUAUGGACAUGGAUGAACAUGACUUCCUUUGUUGGAUGAAUUGCAGCAGCUAACAAGAGAAGGUCAAUACUGGUUUAUAUGCAAGAACUAUAUUCAGUAAAUUUGUUAGAUCACCAUCUCCAAUAAAAGAUCAUUCAAUUUUCUACUUGCUUAUUUUUUUUUCUGGUUCAUUCUGAAUUCUUAGGUGUGCAAUGAUGGAAAAUUGAGCCUGGUCUAUAUGAACAAAAAAUCUCAGGUCUGUCAACAGGAUUUCAAGAUUUUCAUCCUGAGAUACAAUUUCUUUCUCUAGUUCAAUUGCUUAUGCAAAGAGAUGAAAGUUAACUUUUGUGGAUCACUUGAUAGGUUGUGACCAAGUUGAAGAGUAAACGUGCUGGUGGAGCUUUUUCUAAGAACAAUAAACGUAAGCUCUCUCCUUACAGUAUUAUGGUAGUUCACAACCGGAGUUGUUUGUAAACUAUGUGACGGAAGUGAGGCAUGACUCUUCAAUAAAGAGUUGAAACCUAGAUUUGUACCUUGGGAUAAAGACUUCUCAGGAUAUUCUGGAGUUCAAGUGCAAAUACAAAAGCGAUAAACAAAAAAGGGUGGAGAUAGAAUUCAGGAACUUGUUGAUUGAGCCAAGUGAGGGCUCACUGAGAGUGUUGGACAUAAUAAGAACUUUUAUUAGACUGACUUAUUAAGUUUUGUUUUUUCAUUUUUAUGUUAUUAGGUGUAUAAAAAUGUUUAUGAGUUAUGACUGUACUUGGUUUUUUCUGUUGAUCAUUUUUGAGUUAUGAUGUAAGCUACACUUGAAAUGAGAAACUAAGCUCUUCAGGGAGAAUGAUGGAGUUUUAUUUGUAAGGCCAUGGGAUGGAGGAAUUUUAGCUCUUUGAUUUAUAAAGGGAUGGCAUCUCAUGUAGUCAGUCCACGCAAUAGAAUACAUUGAUUUCCAUGUUGGGAAAUAGUUUUCCAUAUUUACUUACUCCAACUUCUUUAGACAAAUUGGGACAGUAUAAAGGUACAACUACUAUUCGCAAGAUUAAAUAUAAGCCAUAAUUGGUUGACAAUUUGUCUUAAUUAACCCGUCUAUUCUAACUGUUAAUUUUUUCUUUUUCCAUAAAGCUAUUUAUUUCUUCCAAAUUUAUUUAGUUUCCUACUCUCCAUUGUAACCUCAUCUUUAUAAACUCCCGUUUGACUAUAGAUUUUGGCUUUAUUCUUUCAAAAAAAUCUAAAAACAUUUUUUGUUUAUGUAAUAUGAUCAGAUUUUGAAGAAAAAAAAUUCAAGUUCUCAAAAACUGGUUUAGGGUAGUGUUUGGGUGAAAUUUUUUAUUGCAGCCACAAAACUUCAAUUUUUCUUUAAAUAAAAUGCAUGUCUAAAUGCAAAUUUAACUUUCAAAAAUUAUUUUUCAACACAAUUUUUUUUUUUUCUAAGGUUCAUUUAAAUUUAUGUCCAGACGCUAGCUAAGGAUUGUUUGGCCAAAAAAGAGAACAAAAUAAAUACAGGGAGAGAGCAACAAUUAAACAAGAUUUGGGAAGUCAUUGGUAGGACAAGUAAGGACAACAUUUUGUUGAAUGUGCUCCUACUACCAACAUUAGGGGUGUACAUAGGUCGGGUUGGUUUGAAUUUUACAAUUACCAAAUCAAACCAAUUAUGUUGGGUUAUUAAAUCUAAAGAUCAAACCAAACCAAUAAAACUCGGGGUUUUCACUCUAGGUUUUUCUCGGGUUUUCGGGUUUUUCGGGGUUUUUUCUGGUAAAAUCUUCGUAGAACAAAACAUAUAAAUUGUGCACAAAAUAUUUCUUUAAUCCUAGUAAGAUACAACUAUAUAAAGUAUUUUCCAAGAAAGUAAUACAAAAUAUGAGAUGUGUCAUGACAUUAUCCUAAAAUAUUCAACAAUAAAGACAAUAUAAUUAUGUAAUAUAAAUAUUGCUAAUUAAAAAGCCAUAAUNNNNNNNNNNNNNNNNNNNNNNNNNACAGAAAUCUGGGUAAGGAAUUUUGUUAACCAGGGAGAAGGUGUUAGGCAUUCCCGGGUUCCGUGGUUCUAGCACGGUCGCUCAACUAUUAUUAUUGGCCUGAUUAUCUGAUUUUUAAAAACACUUUUAAACCUAUGUGCAUUUUUUAACCUUUUAGCCGUUUUUAAUUAUUUAAAGAAAAUUCAAAGGUUAUUUAAAACACAUCGUAAGCCACGCUACAUGAAAUGCACCCGCGUUUCACGACACGUUCUAUUUAACCUUGUUGGAAAUUAGAAUCGGGUCACAUGAAAUAUACACCCGGAUUUAUAACAUGUUUAUUUCAUUAUUAUUAUUAUUUAAAAUUAUGGUAGGGUCACAUGAAAUGCACACCCGAAUUGGGGAUUGCGUAUCGAGACUAUACCACUGAGCCGUACCCAUAGUCACGAUGAUUUAUUAAUCGCGCCUAAAGCAAGCUACGAUAUUCAUGAUUAUUUUCUAAUCUAAUUUGAAAUUAUUGUAAGGUCAUGAAUUAUGGAACAACUUGGAGAAAUAACGUGAAUUAAUUGUUAAGCUAAUGGGCCAAGACACAGAGGUGAUUGGUAUUUAAUGAAUUGGCUUGACAAAUAACGCAUUUGGCCCAUAUUCUGCAGCAAAUAGAUCAAUCCAACUUGAUUCCAACUAAAAUUCAUGCAACCCAACUUAUAAUCAGCUUAAAACUUAGGAACUUUAUGUAUUUCGCCAACUCAAUGUAAUGUUUUGACACCUCUCAUUAUACCAAAAAGGGGGAAGAGAGACGAGAAAUUGGGCUGGUAGUGAUGCAACAGAAGAACGAAAUCUUAAAAAGAAAAGAGAACUCAGCAUUGAAAUCCAUCAAAUGCCCAUUAUAUGUUAUAAGCUACCAACGAAGGACCAAAACAGAAUGGUUUACUAUGAAAUAUACUUCACAAAUUGUAAGUAUUAUAUUGGCUCAAGUUUCAGUUUCUGUGACUCAACCAAGUUAAAUGAAUUAUAUGCUAAGAUCCAACAAUAACCUUUAAAGCCAAAUAACAAGAAUAUGAAGAUAAAAUAAGUGACAACCAAAUGUAUACAUUGAUAAUCUCAAAUAGAUGACUUCAUUGCAUUCAAAAUUGAUAGACUGGAUUUUAAGUCAAGACAAGAGUAUAUCUGACCUUCAAGAUUGAUUUUGAAAUUUGAUAGUUUGACAACUUUGAAGCGUAAAACAAAAGGGAAGGGUCACGGACGAGAACUCGAAUCGGCACCGGAAAGCUCGAAACCAAAACGACCUCAAUCAAACUCCAUCGAAUUUCAAAUUGAAAAUCAGAAGCAUAAACUCUAUACAAAGAAAGUGUAGCCCCUCACAUCAAUCAAACAAAUGAAGCUCUGCCAUAUAACACAUUCCUUUACAGCACCUAACUUAGCUCAACACUGACACUUGCGACAGAAUUUUGGUGCACGACAUCUUAAGAAACCAAUUCUUUAUUUGCAUACACGUUCCAACCUGAGUAAAUAGUCUGACAUCUUUCAACGUUCUUCUCUUAAGAACUAACCAGCAAGCCUUAAAUAAAGAGAUCUAAUGCUCCUACCCAAAAGAUGGAAAGUUAGGUAUGAAUAUCAUUCCAUUAGAACUAAGGCACGAAGUGAAGAUGGCUGCAAGGGGUCACUGAUUUUUGGUGGGCUUCGUCAGUUGGUGUAUAUUGGAGAAGGGGAUCACGGCUGAAGCUUUUUUGGAUUUUUGUUAGGGAUCAAGGGUGCGGCUAACCUCUUCUCAGCUUUAGGAAUUUUGGGAGUCGAAGAUGGGAACAACAGGUUUCAACUCUUAGGCCCUUAGGUCUAGGGUCUUGUUUGUUUUAUAGGAUUUUUUAGAUUAGGGGGUAUGGAUCUAGGAAUUAUGGGCUUGGGAAAUAUGGGCUAGGUCCGAAAAUUAGGCCUAAACAUGGGUCGUUUGAGCCCAAAUUUAUUCUUUCCCCGCGAACGAGACUAAAAAUACAAUCUUAUUUAUUAAUUAAUCCUAUUUAAGUAAAAUAACUAUUAAA
This 8434-nucleotide long non-coding RNA is filed under the name Nicotiana tabacum (common tobacco). Its description in RNAcentral is "long non-coding RNA (NTAB_LNC013433)". Lineage: Eukaryota; Viridiplantae; Streptophyta; Magnoliopsida; Solanales; Solanaceae. The record is from RNAcentral.